Molecule: non-coding RNA, 62 nt
Filed under: Burkholderia sp.
Lineage: Bacteria; Pseudomonadati; Pseudomonadota; Betaproteobacteria; Burkholderiales; Burkholderiaceae
Description: Fluoride sequence
Rfam family: Fluoride riboswitch aptamer (crcB RNA motif)
Source: RNAcentral
UUCCAGCGAGGAGAUGGCAUUCUCCGUUGAACCGCCUCACGGCUGAUGAUGCCUACGAACCC